This 460-nucleotide ribosomal RNA is filed under the name uncultured Treponema sp. RNAcentral's name for it is "partial 16S ribosomal RNA". It matches the Rfam family "Bacterial small subunit ribosomal RNA", at positions 341 to 792 of the family's 1533-position model. The record is from RNAcentral. Lineage: Bacteria; Pseudomonadati; Spirochaetota; Spirochaetia; Treponematales; Treponemataceae.
ACGGGAGGCAGCGGCUAAGAAUAUUCCGCAAUGGACGAAAGUCUGACGGAGCGACGCCGCGUGGAUGAUGAAGGCCGGAAGGUUGUAAAAUCCUUUUAUAACUGGGGAAUAAGCAGUGUGAGAGAAACGCAUUGUGGUGACUGUAGGUUAUGAAUAAGCAACGGCUAAUUACGUGCCAGCAGCCGCGGUAACACGUAUGUUGCGAGCGUUGUUCGGAAUUAUUGGGCGUAAAGGGCAUGUAGGCGGUUUUGCAAGCUUGAUGUGAAAUUCCGGAGCUCAACUCCGGAACUGCGUUGAGAACUGCAUAACUAGAGUCACUGAGGGGCAAUCAGAAUUCCUGGUGUAGGGGUGAAAUCUGUAGAUAUCAGGAAGAAUACCAAUGGCGAAGGCAGGUUACCAGCAGAUGACUGACGCUGAGGUGCGAAGGUGCGGGGAGCAAACAGGAUUAGAUACCCUGGUA